UACGUAGGUGACAAGCGUUAUCCGGAUUUAUUGGGCGUAAAGCGCACGCAGGCGGCUGAUUAAGUCUGACGUGAAAUCUCUCGGCUUAACCGGGAGCGGUCGUUGGAAACUAAUUGGCUUGAGGCGAUGAGAGGGGUGUGGAAUUCCCGGUGUAGUGGUGGAAUGCGUAGAUAUCGGGAGGAACAUCAGUGGCGAAGGCGGCUUCCUGGCCUGUUCUUGACGCUGAGGCGCGAAAGCUAGGGGAGCAAACGGG
This 253-nucleotide ribosomal RNA is filed under the name uncultured bacterium. RNAcentral's name for it is "partial 16S ribosomal RNA". It matches the Rfam family "Bacterial small subunit ribosomal RNA", at positions 524 to 776 of the family's 1533-position model. The record is from RNAcentral.